RNAcentral lists this ribosomal RNA (1012 nucleotides) under Chlamydia trachomatis. Its description in RNAcentral is "partial 23S ribosomal RNA". It matches the Rfam family "Bacterial large subunit ribosomal RNA", at positions 1761 to 2769 of the family's 2925-position model. Lineage: Bacteria; Pseudomonadati; Chlamydiota; Chlamydiia; Chlamydiales; Chlamydiaceae. The record is from RNAcentral.
UAGGAGCCCCGGGGGGCCGCAGAGAAAUGGCCCAGGCGACUGUUUAGCAAAAACACAGCACUAUGCAAACCUCUAAGGGGAAGUAUAUGGUGUGACGCCUGCCCAAUGCCAAAAGGUUAAAGGGAUAUGUCAGCUGCAAAGCGAAGCAUUGAACCUAAGCCCUGGUGAAUGGCCGCCGUAACUAUAACGGUGCUAAGGUAGCGAAAUUCCUUGUCGGGUAAGUUCCGACCUGCACGAAUGGUGUAACGAUCUGGGCACUGUCUCAACGAAAGACUCGGUGAAAUUGUAGUAGCAGUGAAGAUGCUGUUUACCCGCGAAAGGACGAAAAGACCCCGUGAACCUUUACUGUACUUUGGUAUUGAUUUUUGGUUUGUUAUGUGUAGGAUAGCCAGGAGACUAGGAACACUCUUCUUCAGGAGAGUGGGAGUCAACGUUGAAAUACUGGUCUUAACAAGCUGGGAAUCUAACAUUAUUCCAUGAAUCUGGAAGAUGGACAUUGCCAGACGGGCAGUUUUACUGGGGCGGUAUCCUCCUAAAAAGUAACGGAGGAGCCCAAAGCUUAUUUCAUCGUGGUUGGCAAUCACGAGUAGAGCGUAAAGGUAUAAGAUAGGUUGACUGCAAGACCAACAAGUCGAGCAGAGACGAAAGUCGGGCUUAGUGAUCCGGCGGUGGAAAGUGGAAUCGCCGUCGCUUAACGGAUAAAAGGUACUCCGGGGAUAACAGGCUGAUCGCCACCAAGAGUUCAUAUCGACGUGGCGGUUUGGCACCUCGAUGUCGGCUCAUCGCAUCCUGGGGCUGGAGAAGGUCCCAAGGGUUUGGCUGUUCGCCAAUUAAAGCGGUACGCGAGCUGGGUUCAAAACGUCGUGAGACAGUUUGGUCUCUAUCCUUCGUGGGCGCAGGAUACUUGAGAGGAGCUGUUCCUAGUACGAGAGGACCGGAAUGGACGAACCAAUGGUGUGUCGGUUGUUUUGCCAAGAGCAUAGCCGAGUAGCUACGUUCGGAAAGGAUAAGC